CCCAUAUAAACUACAUGGUGUGCCCUAAGCAUGUUUUGACUCUCACAAAUAGUAAAACUAGAACAUUCGACUUGGGAGGGGCAAAUUAUUCUUUCUUAAGAAAGAAAAGAAGAAAAUUGAAAGACAGCUGCUCACUGCAAAAAUUUCUUAACUAUCAGUCUCAUGAAUUUUUGUAGAAAUUUAUUUUCUCUUCUUUGCAAAUAAUUUCUCCGUUUCAAACUCCACAUUUGUUACAAAUUAGUGCAACUUAUUACAACGUAUGUAAUGUUGAAUGAGUCAAUUAUUUUUUUAAUAAGUUAGAAGUCUUAUAGUGGAAUUGGUCUCUUGUUUGGUGAAUAAGUUUAGGAACACGUUGGUUUUUCAGUUUGAUUAGUUGAGAAACUUAAGGAGAAUUCUCACUAUAUAUUGCACUUGUUAGUUGCCAAUUCAUUACUGCAGCACUUCAAUUUUCAUUGUUUCGGGUUUUAGUUCUCAUCAAGAAAUAAAACACAGAUUGAAGAAUAGAAUCUGUUCUUUCCAUCUCCUUUGUCUCUUUGCUAUUUCUCCUGUUUCUUUAAUUUGUUUUUAUUUUGCCAUAAUUUGUUACAUGGUAUCAGAGUUUGGUUGCCUAUCAAGUGUUUGAUUUUAUUACUCAGAGAAGAUGAAUGGUUGAAGCAGUGCCUCUGUAGACAAAUUUGUUGGUAACAAUUAUAGUUACUGGAAGCUAUGCAUCGAAGCUUAUCUACAAGGGCAGGAUUUGUGGGAACUUAUUUAUGGUGAUGAUGUAAUUCCAGAAGAUAUGCUACAAAAUAUUGACUUGAGGAGGAAAUGGAAGAUUAAGUGUGGCAAAGCCUUAUUUUCAUUGUGAACAUCGAUCAAUAAAGAGUACAUCGAGCAUGUUCGUGAUAAGUAGUCGUUAAAGAAAGUGUGGGAGACACUUAAUAGGCUGUUCAUUCAAAAAAACAAGAAUGAACUUGCCGAGAUGAUUUGAGGUAACCUUUCAGUUUCAAAAUAUUUUUUGAAACUUAAAACCUUGUGUUCUUAUAUAUAAGAAUUAGAUACGGAGAAACUUGUGAGUGAUGCUCGUUUGUGCCAUUAUCUAUUUCGUGGAUUGCGAGAAGAAUUUAUGCCCUUUAUCUCUUCAAUAGAAGGGUGGCCAAAUCAACCUACUAUCAUUGAGUUGGAGAACCUGCUCUCAAAUUAAGAAGCAUUGCUGAAACAAAUGUCCAACAAUAGCAACAAAUCUCUCCUGAAGUUGAUGAUAUUCUUUACACCAAGGACCAAGGAAAAAAGAACUUUUCGUCUAAGCAGUAUUUCGAUGAUGGCAAGUAGUCCAAAACUAGGGGACAAUCCAAUGGAAAUCCAAAAACUUGUUAUAGAUGUGGAAAGCUGGGACACAUAAAGCUUGAUUGUCUGGUGAAUGUGGUGUGUAGUCAAUGUGGAAAAUCAGGCCAUUUAAAGAAAAUUGUAGUGUUUAUUGACAAAAUCAUGAGUGAAUGUUGUACAUGAACCUAGUAAAUCUAAAUAGCACAAAUGGGAACAAUGCUUAUCCAUUGAAGCUAUUGAUCAACCAGCUAACAUGAUUUCUGAAGUGCACUAGACUGAUAUAGAUGUUGAUGCUAAUGUUUCCAUAGACUACAACAAGGAUUGGAUAAUUGAUUCUGGCUGCUCUCAUCAUGCAACUAGAAAAUGCUUCGUUACUUUUUGAUGUUCAUCCACAUUGUGAAAAAAAGAAUCAUCGUAAUGUCGAUAUUUCACUACAUCUUGUAGUUAAAGAAGGGCAUCUCAGUUUUAGAACUAAUAUUUCAAAUGUUGAUGGUAUUUCUCUCAAAAAUGUAUGUCAUGUUCCAGGUUUUAAGAAGAAUCUCGCCUCAAUCUCUCAAUUAGUUGAUUCUGCGAGGUAUGUUCUUUUUGGUCCAAAUAAUGUACAGAUUCUUUCAAAAUGCAACUGCGACAAUUUGGCAUGCUCGGUUAAGCUAUGUUGGUUAUUAGUUACUGUAGAAAAUAUCCACAAAGAAACUUUUAGAUGGAGUUCCUCUAUUUAAAGAUUUUCAUCCUGAUGUGGUAUGUG
RNAcentral lists this long non-coding RNA (2050 nucleotides) under Olea europaea subsp. europaea. Lineage: Eukaryota; Viridiplantae; Streptophyta; Magnoliopsida; Lamiales; Oleaceae. The record is from RNAcentral.